GACGGAUGGGCUCGCGGAAGUGGCGGAUGACAGCCAAGGUGUCCCGGUUGGUGAGCCCGCUGACAGGCGUCCCGUUCACCUCCAACAGCACAUCCCCAGGGCUGGGCGCCUUGCCCGAGACGAUGCAGCAGGUGCCCCCGCCGGGCUCCUCGCGGAGCCGCCCCAGGUACAUUUACCUGCAAAUGACCAAAUGAAUCCAGCCCAAAUUCACAGAACAGGAAUGUUAAAAAUCAACUGCAGUGCCAACAUGUUUUAAAAAGAGAACCUAGUUAACAGUCAGAUGUCAAGUUUGUCUCACAAAGAAGAACAAAGAGAGCAUUGAAUGAAAGAGAAAAUACCAAAGGGCCCAUCUGGCACAUCUUUCAUUUUUCAGCUUAGCUACCACCUCCUACCCAAGGCUGGCCUUGAUUUCUACAGAAAAUGGAGAUUCAAAAGAAAAUAUACAGCCAACAGAUGUAUGAAAAAUGACAAACAUCUCUAAUAAUCGGGGAAAUGCAAAUUAAAACCACAAGGAGAGACACCACCUCACACCUGUCAGAAUGACUAUUACCAAAACAGAUAAAAGAUAUCAAGUGUUGACAAGAACGAAAAGGGAACCCUUGACACUGCCAAUGGGAAUGUAAGUUAAUACAAUCAUUGUGGGAAGCAGUAUGGAUGUUCCUCCAAAACCUAAAAAACAGAACUAAUAUACAAUCCAGCAGUUCUACUUCUGAGCUCUACUCAAAGGAUUUGAAUCUAAUAUGGGGGUGAACAUCAACCUAAGUGUCCAUCAACAGAUAAAUAGAUAAAAAAAAAUACAGUAUAUGUAAAUACAAUGAGGAACUACCCAGCCUUAAAAGAGAUUUAAAGGCUGCCAUUUGUGAGAGAAGGAAGGAACUCCCAGGCUGUGAGGAAAAUACAUUUCUAUCUUAUAACCCACCCAGUCUAUGGUAUUUUGUUAUAGUAGCCUGAAUUAAGACACAAAGUCUCUCCGUUGUCUCCCCAUUUCACUCAGAGAGUAAAAGCUCUUAUUCCU
Heterocephalus glaber (naked mole-rat) is the source of this 1015-nucleotide non-coding RNA. Lineage: Eukaryota; Metazoa; Chordata; Mammalia; Rodentia; Bathyergidae. The record is from RefSeq and is a predicted model, not a curated record.